This 464-nucleotide ribosomal RNA is filed under the name Vreelandella stevensii. Its description in RNAcentral is "partial 16S ribosomal RNA". It matches the Rfam family "Bacterial small subunit ribosomal RNA", at positions 338 to 795 of the family's 1533-position model. Lineage: Bacteria; Pseudomonadati; Pseudomonadota; Gammaproteobacteria; Oceanospirillales; Halomonadaceae. The record is from RNAcentral.
CCUACGGGGGGCUGCAGUGGGGAAUAUUGGACAAUGGGGGGAACCCUGAUCCAGCCAUGCCGCGUGUGUGAAGAAGGCCCUCGGGUUGUAAAGCACUUUCAGUGAGGAAGAACGCCUGGUGGUUAAUACCCAUCAGGAAAGACAUCACUCACAGAAGAAGCACCGGCUAACUCCGUGCCAGCAGCCGCGGUAAUUCGGAGGGUGCGAGCGUUAAUCGGAAUUACUGGGCGUAAAGCGCGCGUAGGUGGCUUGAUAAGCCGGUUGUGAAAGCCCCGGGCUCAACCUGGGAACGGCAUCCGGAACUGUCAAGCUAGAGUGCAGGAGAGGAAGGUAGAAUUCCCGGUGUAGCGGUGAAAUGCGUAGAGAUCGGGAGGAAUACCAGUGGCGAAGGCGGCCUUCUGGACUGACACUGACACUGAGGUGCGAAAGCGUGGGUAGCAAACAGGAUUAGAUACCCAGUAGUC